AUACGAAGGGUGCAAGCGUUAAUCGGAAUUACUGGGCGUAAAGCGCGCGUAGGUGGUUUUGUAAGUUGGAGGUGAAAGCCCCGGGCUCAACCUGGGAAUUGCCUCCAAAACUGCAUGACUAGAGUACGGUAGAGGGUAGUGGAAUUUCCUGUGUAGCGGUGAAAUGCGUAGAUAUAGGAAGGAACACCAGUGGCGAAGGCGACUACCUGGACUAAUACGUACACUGAGGUGCGAAAGCGUGGGGAGCAAACAGGAGUAGAUCCCCUGGUAGUCCACGCCGUAAACGAUGUCAACUAGCCGUUGGGAUCCUUGAGAUCUUAGUGGCGCAGCUAACGCAUUAAGUGGACCGCCUGGGGAGUACGGCCGCAAGGUUAGAACUCAAAUGAAUUGACGGGG
This 396-nucleotide ribosomal RNA is filed under the name uncultured bacterium. RNAcentral's name for it is "partial 16S ribosomal RNA". It matches the Rfam family "Bacterial small subunit ribosomal RNA", at positions 523 to 918 of the family's 1533-position model. The record is from RNAcentral.